GAGAAGAAAGAUUUCUGAAAUAACCCUCUCCACAAGUUAGAGUCUUUGGUUUCAAAAAUCUAAAUCAUUUAGAUGUUCUCAGCCUCGCCAAUUAUACCACCUACAAACAUAUUUGGUAUCAAAGUUAAACUACAAUAUUUUUACAUAGCGUGAACGAUGCAUGAACUGACGCAGUAACCUCAUGGAUUUAUUCAUUAUUUUUGCUUUUGGCAAGUUUUUCAGCUUUAUAGAUGCUUUGAUGCAGUCCUUGAUCCUUGGUGUUUCCUUCUUUAAAUAGUACGUUACAUAUCGAGUUCCUCUCUUCUAUCUCCCAAACCUGUCCGAACCAUGGUGGUUUUUCCUCGAUCAUUCUCUUCCCUUUAGUUUCUU
This 369-nucleotide long non-coding RNA is filed under the name Arabidopsis lyrata. Its description in RNAcentral is "long non-coding RNA (ALYR_LNC003228)". The record is from RNAcentral. Lineage: Eukaryota; Viridiplantae; Streptophyta; Magnoliopsida; Brassicales; Brassicaceae.